This 1351-nucleotide long non-coding RNA is filed under the name Scleropages formosus (Asian bonytongue). RNAcentral describes it as "lncRNA (ENSSFOG00015030497.1)". The record is from RNAcentral. Lineage: Eukaryota; Metazoa; Chordata; Actinopteri; Osteoglossiformes; Osteoglossidae.
CUUUUUUCUUUUUGUCUGUUAGUCCGUUGGCACAGAAAUAUAUAUUAUAUAUAAAAAAAUUAGCUCUCUUCCACCAUGGAAUUUGGAAACAUACAAAAAAUUCUUUGGUUACAGGUUUAAUCAGGUUAAAAGGAAGAUAUUUCUAAACGAGGGAAAUGAUUUCCUUUUAAUGUCCAUCUUAGUAAAGGCUUCAUCAAACCCUUGCUAACCUAACCCUCCCACCAAGCUUGUUUGGUUUGUACAUUUCCUGAGCUUUGAGGAAACUGAAUCAGUCACUGAAACGUGUCAGUGCCAUGGCUGUGCGUCUCAUGAACUGGCUGUUUUAUCUUCUCAGCUUUUUCAACAUCUGGCAUGAUGUAAGGGGACAGAAGAGGAUUCUGGAGUUGCAGCAUGGUGACACCUUUUCCAUUGAUUGCUCAGACACCUUGCAGGGAAGGACUGAAUUGUACCUGUACAGAAGAUUGUCUGAGAAAACAUUGGUCCUCUUCUGGAAUGCCACGAACGAUGAACUGACAGUAACCACCACAUUCAGACACAGAGCAAAUUUGGAGCGCAACUAUGAAAACUUAAGUUUCAACCUUCAUCACAUGAUGGAAAAUGAUUCGGGAGUGUACUGGUGUACCAGUGGACUUGACGGGAAACGGAGCAACAGGUCUGCAGCACUGGUCGUGGUCAGUGGUGAUGCGCCAUGUGGUACAACCGGCCUGACUGAUGGAGAAAACGCAGAUGAAGAAGAGCUGUGAAAGGGCAAAUGCAGAGACCGCACCCACUGACUUCAUUUAUGAAGACAUGCAGAGAUGUCACAGGUCCAUGUAGAGGUGGUUGCCCAUCUUACCGGGACUCAAGAACAGGCAUACACAUCUCAAUGUUCCAUUAGUCUAAGUAAAGGUGUGGGUGGGGGGGAUCCCUAUGCCUGUAGAACAGAACAAUUUUCUGUUGUUUUUCAUUCACUUUAAAAAUGUAAUAUCAAUCUCACAGAUAUGUAUUUUAUUUGCUUACUUCCAAUUAUAUUUAGAGUUAGUGCUACGGUAAGUGUAAUUUAACAACAUUUUUGACUACACACCUCUGGAGAGAAUGUACUGUAGCAUUGUUUCUACAGUAUUAUGAUUUUAUUUUAUGUCAUCUAUAGAAUUUGACUGGGUCUCUUGCACAGGUCACAUUUUAUAACAUGGUGUGUUCUUGCUGUCAUCUUCAAUUUAAAAAUUGUUAAUGUGAUUUGUAUAUAAAAGUGCACUCUUCUGUACCAGAGAAUUUUUAUCACUUCGGGGUAACAUUUUUUCAGAUCAAAUUUUGCAAAAGUGAUCCAUUGUUCUCUGAAUAUUUAGUCCAUCUUUACAUAACUGAAUGUUUA